GACGAACGCUGGCGGCGUGCUUAACACAUGCAAGUCGAGCGGAAAGGCCACUUCGGUGGUACUCGAGCGGCGAACGGGUGAGUAACACGUGAGUAAUCUGCCCCUGGCUUUGGGAUAGCCACCGGAAACGGUGAUUAAUACCGGAUAUGACAGCUUCUCGCAUGAGAUGGUUGUGGAAAGUUUUUCGGCCAGGGAUGUGCUCGCGGCCUAUCAGCUUGAUGGUGAGGUAAUGGCUCACCAUGGCUUCGACGGGUAGCCGGCCUGAGAGGGUGACCGGCCACACUGGGACUGAGACACGGCCCAGACUCCUACGGGAGGCAGCAGUGGGGAAUAUUGGACAAUGGGCGGAAGCCUGAUCCAGCAACGCCGCGUGAGGGAUGACGGCCUUCGGGUUGUAAACCUCUUUCGGUGGGGACGAAGCGCAAGUGACGGUACCCA
This 438-nucleotide ribosomal RNA is filed under the name uncultured bacterium. Its description in RNAcentral is "bacterial SSU rRNA". It matches the Rfam family "Bacterial small subunit ribosomal RNA", at positions 28 to 481 of the family's 1533-position model. The record is from RNAcentral.